GAUGAACGCUGGCGGCGUGCCUAAUACAUGCAAGUCGAGCGAACGGACGAGAAGCUUGCUUCUCUGAUGUUAGCGGCGGACGGGUGAGUAACACGUGGAUAACCUACCUAUAAGACUGGGAUAACUUCGGGAAACCGUAGCUAAUACCGGAUAAUAUUUUGAACCGCAUGGUUCAAAAGUGAAAGACGGUCUUGCUGUCACUUAUAGAUGGAUCCGCGCUGCAUUAGCUAGUUGGUAAGGUAACGGCUUACCAAGGCAACGAUGCAUAGCCGACCUGAGAGGGUGAUCGGCCACCCUGGAACUGAGACACGGUCCAUGCUCCUACGGGAGGCAGCAGUAGGGAAUCUUCCGCAAUGGGCGAAAGCCUGACGGAGCAACGCCGCGUGAGUGAUGAAGGUCUUCGGAUCGUAAAACUCUGUUAUUAGUGAAGAACAUAUGUGUAAGUAACUGUGCACAUCUUGACGGUACCUAAUCAGAAAGCCACGGCUAACUACGUG
Molecule: ribosomal RNA, 497 nt
Filed under: uncultured bacterium
Lineage: Bacteria
Description: partial 16S ribosomal RNA
Rfam family: Bacterial small subunit ribosomal RNA
Source: RNAcentral